RNAcentral lists this ribosomal RNA (253 nucleotides) under uncultured prokaryote. RNAcentral's name for it is "partial 16S ribosomal RNA". It matches the Rfam family "Bacterial small subunit ribosomal RNA", at positions 524 to 776 of the family's 1533-position model. The record is from RNAcentral.
UACGAAGGGGGCUAGCGUUGCUCGGAAUGACUGGGCGUAAAGGGCGCGUAGGCGGAUGGUACAGUCAGAUGUGAAAUUCCCGGGCUUAACCUGGGGGCUGCAUUUGAUACGUGCUGUCUAGAGUGAGGAAGAGGGUUGUGGAAUUCCCAGUGUAGAGGUGAAAUGCGUAGAUAUCGGGAGGAACACCUGUGGCGAAAGCGGCUCACUGGACCACAACUGACGCUGAUGCACGAAAGCUAGGGGAGCAAACAGG